This 229-nucleotide ribosomal RNA is filed under the name uncultured bacterium. RNAcentral describes it as "partial 16S ribosomal RNA". It matches the Rfam family "Bacterial small subunit ribosomal RNA", at positions 28 to 237 of the family's 1533-position model. The record is from RNAcentral.
AGUGAACGCUGGCGGCAGGCCUAACACAUGCAAGUCGAGCGGCAGCGGGUUCCCGCGAGGGGAUGCCGGCGAGCGGCGGACGGGUGAGGAACACAUCGGAAUCUGCCUGGUUGUGGGGGAUAACGUAGGGAAACUUACGCUAAUACCGCAUGCGACCCUGAGUCGACGGACUGGGGGUGGAAGUAGAGGGACCGUUCGGCCGUCACGCGACCACGAUGAGCCGACUGUC